UCCGGUUUGUCACCGGCAGUCUCCCUAGAGUGCCCAACUAAAUGAUGGCAAAUAAGGACAAGGGUUGCGCUCGUUACGGGACUUAACCCAACAUCUCACGACACGAGCUGACGACAGCCAUGCAGCACCUGUCACUGCGCUCCCGAAGGCACCCCAGUGUCUCCACCGGGUUCGCAGGAUGUCAAGAGUAGGUAAGGUUCUUCGCGUUGCGUCGAAUUAAACCACAUGCUCCACCGCUUGUGCGGGCCCCCGUCAAUUCAUUUGAGUUUUAAUCUUGCGACCGUACUCCCCAGGCGGUCAACUUAGUGCGUUAGCUGCGCCACUAAAGGCAUUACGCCCCCAACGGCUAGUUGACAUCGUUUACGGCGUGGACUAC
This 376-nucleotide unclassified non-coding RNA is filed under the name uncultured Oceanospirillales bacterium. RNAcentral describes it as "contains 16S-23S intergenic spacer region". The record is from RNAcentral. Lineage: Bacteria; Pseudomonadati; Pseudomonadota; Gammaproteobacteria; Oceanospirillales.